GAUGAACGCUGGCGGCGUGCCUAAUACAUGCAAGUCGAGCGAACAGACGAGGAGCUUGCUCCUUCGACGUUAGCGGCGGACGGGUGAGUAACACGUAGGUAACCUACCUAUAAGACUGGGAUAACUUCGGGAAACCGGAGCUAAUACCGGAUAAUAUUUCGAACCGCAUGGUUCGAUCGUGAAAGAUGGCUUUGCUAUCACUUAAGGAUGGCCAUGCGCAGUAUUAGCUAGUUGGGAAGGUAACGGCUUACCAAGGCAACGAUACGUAGCCGACCCGAGAGGAGGAUCAGCGAAAACGGACGUGAGACACGGCCGCGACGAGUACGGGAGGAAGCAGGGGGGAAUAUGGGAGAAUGGGCGAAAGACGGAUCAAGAAAUGCCGCGGGAGGGAUGAAGGCAUUAGGGUUGUAAAGCUCUCGUACCAGGGAUGAUAGUGACAGUACCGGGAGAAUAAGCUCCGGCUAACUACGUG
This 472-nucleotide ribosomal RNA is filed under the name uncultured bacterium. Its description in RNAcentral is "partial 16S ribosomal RNA". It matches the Rfam family "Bacterial small subunit ribosomal RNA", at positions 28 to 507 of the family's 1533-position model. The record is from RNAcentral.